RNAcentral lists this unclassified non-coding RNA (337 nucleotides) under soil metagenome. RNAcentral's name for it is "partial contains 5.8S ribosomal RNA, internal transcribed spacer 2, and large subunit ribosomal RNA". The stretch from base 1 to 120 matches the Rfam family "5.8S ribosomal RNA", at positions 35 to 154 of the family's 154-position model. The record is from RNAcentral.
GAUGAAGAACGUAGCGAAAUGCGAUAAGUAGUGUGAAUUGCAGAAUUCAGUGAAUCAUCGAAUCUUUGAACGCACAUUGCGCCCCUCGGCAUUCCGUGGGGCAUACCUGUUCGAGCGUCAUUUCAACCCUCGGGCGGUCUUUUGGGUCCGUCUGGUUUUGGGUGUCGUCAAAAGACGUGCCUUAAAAGAAUUGGCGGCGUAGGUGCCGGCUUCGAGCGUAGCAGAUGCGAUUCGCUUUGGAAGCUGGCGCUCACCUUGCCGGAUAUAUCUCUGAAUGGCUGACCUCGGAUCAGGUAGGGAUACCCGCUGAACUUAAGCAUAUCAAUAAGCGGAGGGA